GCUCUAUUCUUACAUAGGUACAUAUGCACUUAGCGUUGGCAUUACCAAAUUAGUGUACCCGCAGCUACAGGUGCAAUAGACCAGCUGAUAUGCAUGACAGAGUCGCAAUGCAAAGCUCGGCUCUGCAUCGCAGCCAACUUUGCUGACCCGUAUCCGAAUUCCGGAUACGUUCUUUUCGUCAAAAGUUAUUCGAAGCGAUCACACGCGUUUAAUCCGAGUGCCGCUCACCAAGUCGGAAAUAUAUAUAUACAAGUGUUCCGGAAGAGAAAGUGGCUUAUUCAUUUAUUUAUUUUGGCGGCUGCCUAGAUUAGAUUAGAUUUUUCAUUAGAUUUUUCCUUUGGGUCCCAGUGGAUAAUCGGACCGCCUUGGCCAUCCGCGGCUACAGCAAGUGCGGAGUUUCGCGGGCAUCGAGGGAUUACCCGGACAUCGCCGAGAGAUAGACGGGACACGUAGUGUCUACUGGAGCACCCCUUGGACGCCGUACUUGGAGCCACGCCCCGCGUCUACAGGAGCACCCUCCGGGAGCCAAGCCACGCGGUCCCCCCGCGUCCUCAGGAGCACCCCAACAACCCAGCACCAGCAGCUGGCUAGACCUAAAGGUCUACCAGCGUUCGCCCCAUCUUAGCGGGCAGAAAACCCGCUCGUUUAUUUAUAUUUUUUUUUGUAACCGCCUCAGAAGCUCACCCUGUCUAGCUACCUGAGCAACGGCAAUCAACUAGGCCACAUAAAAUAGCUGCUUAGUUCAGAGCCAAUAUGUAGUCCACCAAAAUUGUCAUAUACCAGGCCAUCGUCCAAACAAAACAAUAGUGAUCAGCCACGACACUGGGAAUAAUCUUUCAUUUUCGAUUGGUGUAAAUUAUUAUUAAAAAAAAAAAAAAAAAACUAUAAAUUCGCCCAGUGUCGGAAUUUUAUCCACAUUUAACCUAUAAUAUGCGAUGGCUGCACUGGAAAAAAAAUUUGGAAAUAAAGUUAAUUUAAAUACUAAAUGAAAAUCAAACUUAAACAAAUAUUGUUCAGAACAGGAAAUAUAUGUAGGUGUAGAAAAAGAAAUUAUAAAAACAUUAAAUAAUAUAAAGAAAAAGAAAAGAAAGGGUAGAAAAAGAAAUUAUGAAAACAUAAAAAUAUACAAAGAAAAAAAAAAAAAAAUACAAUUAUGUAAAUAUUAGGAAUCUUAGGUCUCUGGAAAUAUUAUUAGUUUAAGAAAAUAGCUGGUUGUCUAAAACAGAUGAAUGCUCGGUAUCUAUUUAACCCCUGGCGAACCAAAGUCGCUGUUCUAUUGCAGGUACCCCUCGGGAGAUCGAUCUUCGUCGUGGAGAGUACACAAAGUGAGUCACUAUAAAACAAAUCUUGUUCGUUGGUUAAUGCAUACUCGGCAUUCACAUUCUGAUGAUUAUAAAAGAAUAUACAAACAAAAUUAAAAAAACAAAA
This is a long non-coding RNA of Drosophila bipectinata, 1428 nucleotides long. RefSeq lists it as uncharacterized. Lineage: Eukaryota; Metazoa; Arthropoda; Insecta; Diptera; Drosophilidae. The record is from RefSeq and is a predicted model, not a curated record.